GGGUUGUGAGGUUAAGCGACUAAGCGUACACGGUGGAUGCCCUGGCAGUCAGAGGCGAUGAAGGACGUGCUAAUCUGCGAAAAGCGUCGGUAAGGUGAUAUGAACCGUUAUAACCGGCGAUGUCCGAAUGGGGAAACCCAGUGUGAUUCGUCACACUAUCGUUAACUGAAUACAUAGGUUAACGAGGCGAACCGGGGGAACUGAAACAUCUAAGUACCCCGAGGAAAAGAAAUCAACCGAGAUUCCCCCAGUAGCGGCGAGCGAACGGGGAGCAGCCCAGAGUCUGAAUCAGCUUGUGUGUUAGUGGAACGGUCUGGAAAGUCCGACGGUACAGGGUGAUAGUCCCGUACACCAAAAUGCACAGGCUGUGAACUCGAAGAGUAGGGCGGGACACGUGGUAUCCUGUCUGAAUAUGGGGGGACCAUCCUCCAAGGCUAAAUACUCCUGACUGACCGAUAGUGAACCAGUACCGUGAGGGAAAGGCGAAAAGAACCCCGGCGAGGGGAGUGAAAAAGAACCUGAAACCGUGUACGUACAAGCAGUGGGAGCACCUUCGGGUGUGACUGCGUACCUUUUGUAUAAUGGGUCAGCGACUUAUAUUCUGUAGCAAGGUUAACCGUAUAGGGGAGCCGCAGGGAAACCGAGUCUUAACUGGGCGUUAAGUUGCAGGGUAUAGACCCGAAACCCGGUGAUCUAGCCAUGGGCAGGUUGAAGGUUGGGUAACACUAACUGGAGGACCGAACCGACUAAUGUUGAAAAAUUAGCGGAUGACUUGUGGCUGGGGGUGAAAGGCCAAUCAAACCGGGAGAUAGCUGGUUCUCCCCGAAAGCUAUUUAGGUAGCGCCUCGUGAACUCAUCUUCGGGGGUAGAGCACUGUUUCGGCUAGGGGGUCAUCCCGACUUACCAACCCGAUGCAAACUACGAAUACCGAAGAAUGUUAUCACGGGAGACACACGGCGGGUGCUAACGUCCGUCGUGAAGAGGGAAACAACCCAGACCGCCAGCUAAGGUCCCAAAGUCAUGGUUAAGUGGGAAACGAUGUGGGAAGGCACAGACAGCCAGGAUGUUGGCUUAGAAGCAGCCAUCAUUUAAAGAAAGCGUAAUAGCUCACUGGUCGAGUCGGCCUGCGCGGAAGAUGUAACGGGGCUAAACCAUGCACCGAAGCUGCGGCAGCGACACUAUGUGUUGUUGGGUAGGGGAGCGUUCUGUAAGCCUGCGAAGGUGACCUGUGAGGGUUGCUGGAGGUAUCAGAAGUGCGAAUGCUGACAUAAGUAACGAUAAAGCGGGUGAAAAGCCCGCUCGCCGGAAGACCAAGGGUUCCUGUCCAACGUUAAUCGGGGCAGGGUGAGUCGACCCCUAAGGCGAGGCCGAAAGGCGUAGUCGAUGGGAAACAGGUUAAUAUUCCUGUACUUGGUGUUACUGCGAAGGGGGGACGGAGAAGGCUAUGUUAGCCGGGCGACGGUUGUCCCGGUUUAAGCAUGUAGGCUGAUUGUCCAGGCAAAUCCGGAUAAUCAAGGCUGAGGUGUGAUGACGAGGCACUACGGUGCUGAAGUAACAAAUGCCCUGCUUCCAGGAAAAGCCUCUAAGCAUCAGGUAACAUCAAAUCGUACCCCAAACCGACACAGGUGGUCAGGUAGAGAAUACCAAGGCGCUUGAGAGAACUCGGGUGAAGGAACUAGGCAAAAUGGUGCCGUAACUUCGGGAGAAGGCACGCUGGUGUGUAGGUGAAGCCCCCGCGGGUGGAGCUGAGACCAGUCGAAGAUACCAGCUGGCUGCAACUGUUUAUUAAAAACACAGCACUGUGCAAACACGAAAGUGGACGUAUACGGUGUGACGCCUGCCCGGUGCCGGAAGGUUAAUUGAUGGGGUUAUCCGUAAGGAGAAGCUCUUGAUCGAAGCCCCGGUAAACGGCGGCCGUAACUAUAACGGUCCUAAGGUAGCGAAAUUCCUUGUCGGGUAAGUUCCGACCUGCACGAAUGGCGUAAUGAUGGCCAGGCUGUCUCCACCCGAGACUCAGUGAAAUUGAACUCGCUGUGAAGAUGCAGUGUACCCGCGGCAAGACGGAAAGACCCCGUGAACCUUUACUAUAGCUUGACACUGAACAUUGAGCCUUGAUGUGUAGGAUAGGUGGGAGGCUUUGAAGCGUGGACGCCAGUCUGCGUGGAGCCAACCUUGAAAUACCACCCUUUAAUGUUUGAUGUUCUAACGUUGGCCCCUGACCGGGGUUGCGGACAGUGUCUGGUGGGUAGUUUGACUGGGGCGGUCUCCUCCCAAAGCGUAACGGAGGAGCACGAAGGUUAGCUAAUCCUGGUCGGACAUCAGGAGGUUAGUGCAAUGGCAUAAGCUAGCUUGACUGCGAGCGUGACGGCGCGAGCAGGUGCGAAAGCAGGUCAUAGUGAUCCGGUGGUUCUGAAUGGAAGGGCCAUCGCUCAACGGAUAAAAGGUACUCCGGGGAUAACAGGCUGAUACCGCCCAAGAGUUCAUAUCGACGGCGGUGUUUGGCACCUCGAUGUCGGCUCAUCACAUCCUGGGGCUGAAGUAGGUCCCAAGGGUAUGGCUGUUCGCCAUUUAAAGUGGUACGCGAGCUGGGUUUAGAACGUCGUGAGACAGUUCGGUCCCUAUCUGCCGUGGGCGCUGGAGAAUUGAGGGGGGCUGCUCCUAGUACGAGAGGACCGGAGUGGACGCAUCACUGGUGUUCGGGUUGUCAUGCCAAUGGCACUGCCCGGUAGCUAAAUGCGGAAGAGAUAAGUGCUGAAAGCAUCUAAGCACGAAACUUGCCCCGAGAUGAGUUCUCCCUGAGACUUUAAGUCUCCUGAAGGAACGUUAAAGACGAUGACGUUGAUAGGCCGGGUGUGUAAGCGCAGCGAUGCGUUGAGCUAACCGGUACUAAUGAACCGUGAGGCUUAACCUUACAACGCCGAAG
This 2923-nucleotide ribosomal RNA is filed under the name Klebsiella pneumoniae. RNAcentral describes it as "23S ribosomal RNA". It matches the Rfam family "Bacterial large subunit ribosomal RNA". Lineage: Bacteria; Pseudomonadati; Pseudomonadota; Gammaproteobacteria; Enterobacterales; Enterobacteriaceae. The record is from RNAcentral.